Schistosoma haematobium is the source of this 45-nucleotide non-coding RNA. NCBI's taxonomy places the organism in Eukaryota, Metazoa, Platyhelminthes, Trematoda, Strigeidida, Schistosomatidae. The record is from Rfam.
AUUCAGCUGACGAGUCCAAAGUAGGACGGAACGUGCAUCGUGGAU